Molecule: long non-coding RNA, 2046 nt
Organism: Canis lupus familiaris (dog)
Lineage: Eukaryota; Metazoa; Chordata; Mammalia; Carnivora; Canidae
Exons: 5
Source: RefSeq, a predicted model, not a curated record
CCUGGACCUUCCGGCACCCCCACCCCCCACCACACCUUUCCUCUACGGAGCUCUUCCCUCAAAAUGGAAAUUCACCGGAGAGAGAAGAAAGAGCAGUGCAAACUGAUAAAGUGUUGAGCAACUGGCUGCGUUGUGAAUCCCAGCGGCUGCCGCUGCUGCGCAUCUCCCGUGAGCCUACUCUGUGCCCGCAGCCUGCCAGGCGCUACAGACCCAGACCGUGCACGGCCCUUCCCAGAAGAGAGUGGCGAGGCUGACCUUGGCACAUGGCUAGGCGUCCCUUCUUAAGGAAAUUCUUGGAGAGGGAGGAAAAAUACUAGCAGACCCACCGUCAAGCUGCCUCUAAAGGACAGAGCUACAGAACAGCUACCGUGGGACAGUAAAGCUAGAUGACCCGGGCCUGAAUCCUAGCUCUGCUGUUUAUCAGCUACAUGACAUGAGCAAGCAGUUUGAUACAUCCAGUCUUCGGUUUCCAUAUCUGUAACAUGGAGCUAGAAACUUCUGCAUACGGAGACAGGAGAACCAGUUUUAAUGAGAAAAACUCAAUUGUGUCCUGAAAUAUUUAUACCAGCUUUGCAAUUAGGUAUAAAACAUUUACCAGUUCUGCCUCCAAACACAUCCUUGAAAAAGAUGGAAACUGUUAUCUCUGAUUCACCAAAAAACAGAAGAAAAAAAAAACUUGUUUUGACUUAUCUGGUCUGCUAAUUUUAGACAAAUUAAAAAAUCCGAGAGCCUUUUUGUGGCACAGUUGUGAAAAUGAGGCCUUCAGAGAGAUGGAAUGAUCCUCCCACGGUUAUUUAACAAGAAACUUUUGGAAUUCCAACUGGUAUCCAAAUGCUUGAUUUCUGAGAUCCCAGGAUAUGUCAUCAGACCAAACCGUGUCAUAUGCUCAGAUCUCGGAUUCCAGUCUUCUUGACACCAGCAAAUAAAUACACACAAAGCAGCAAAUAUAAUGAAUCCACAGCUUCUUCACCUGCCUUCCUUACUGUCCACCUUCUGUCUGAGACUAUCUGAAGGGUUCCAUGAUCAUCACUGAAUUACAUAACCAUCCAAAUGAGAUUGUUCUUCCAUCUGUUAAGGGCCAUCAGAGCCCCCGUGCAAUGAAUUUCAAUUUAAGGAGCUUUAUGUCCCAUCUGGAGCAAGAGGAUUCAUUCCUAUAUAAGAGAAAAAAGAUCAUUGUGAUUUUAACCUGGUUUUAAUGGAAAUGACUCAAUCCAAACCUUAAAAUUUAAAUGAUGUUUAAAUAUUGCAUGUCUCAGCGCACUGAGAUAAUGAUCUUGCCAGCAAUUAUUUUCAAAGUCCCAUUUUCACAGCAGUAAAUGCUCAUUAAAAAUAAACCAUAUAUACAAGAGCGCUCACUGCAGCAGUAUUUGUAAGAGGAGAAGACUUGAAACCAACCCAAAUGUCUAUCAAAGGAGAUGACACAAAGAAAUUGUGCUGUGUUCAUACCGUGCAGCUAUUAAAAAGAAAGAAGGAGGCCUACAUGUGCCAGUGACAAGAUAUUUAACAUCUAUAAAUAAGUGAAAAAAAAUGCAAGAUGCAAAACACUAUGCAUGUUUCUAAUGUUGGUAGUUACAGCAAUAAAUGUCAGUAUGUGCAUAUCAAAAAAUCUGGAAGUGUAUACAAAAUAAAGACAGUAAUUUCUCUGGGAAAUAACAUGAGGGGGCAAUUUGAUUUUCAACCUUAUUCAAAAUCAUCACAUAUUGCUUCCUUAAUUGAAAAAGACUUCUAUCUCCUUUUAAAUAUGAGGUGUAAUAAAUACAUUUCGCACUAAUAAAUUGAAAAUUUCAAAUGAAAGUUUACAUGAAAAUGGAAUAUGCUCCUUUCAAACAGUUACUGUGUGCUAUAAACACUGCAUUGUUUAUAUUCUUCAGUCCACUGAUUGUUAACAUAGAGAGCCUUUAUUCAUAAUUCUAUUGUGACAGCAGAAAACUAGAAACACCCAAGUGCUUGACAGAGGAAUAGUUAAAUAAACGGCCACUCCCAAUAAACUGUUAUGCAGCCAUUUAAUAAGAAGAUUAAGAAGACUAUGAAACACUAUGAAAUGCC